UCCGGCGGCGACGUGCAGGCGGCAGAGCGGGCACGUGCGGCGGCAGCGCGCGAGCCAGCGGUCGACGCAGUCGCGGUGGAAGGCGUGUCCGCAGGGCAGCCUCCGGACGUCGUCCCCGUCGUCGCGGCACGCCGAAAUGCACACGCAGCAGUACCCCACCGCCGGCGACGCCGCCGAGCGGUCGUGGCCGCCGCCGCCGCAACGUCGCCGCCAACGCUCGGCCUCGGCCCCCGCCGCCUUGGAGAGCAGCGCCACAACCUGGCUCACCGUCACGGCCAGCAUGGCUGGGUUAGUUUAGUGAGGCCGCUGUUUCGGUCGCAGCGAGACGAGUGGCCAGUGGGACUG
RNAcentral lists this unclassified non-coding RNA (345 nucleotides) under Zea mays. RNAcentral describes it as "misc RNA Zm00001eb047440". Lineage: Eukaryota; Viridiplantae; Streptophyta; Magnoliopsida; Poales; Poaceae. The record is from RNAcentral.